Molecule: ribosomal RNA, 495 nt
Filed under: uncultured bacterium
Lineage: Bacteria
Description: partial 16S ribosomal RNA
Rfam family: Bacterial small subunit ribosomal RNA
Source: RNAcentral
GACGAACGCUGGCGGCGUGCCUAAUACAUGCAAGUCGAACGCUGAAGGAGGAGCUUGCUUCUCUGGAUGAGUUGCGAACGGGUGAGUAACGCGUAGGUAACCUGCCUGGUAGCGGGGGAUAACUAUUGGAAACGAUAGCUAAUACCGCAUAAUAGCAGUUGUUGCAUGACAACUGUUUGAAAGGUGCAAUUGCACCACUACCAGAUGGACCUGCGUUGUAUUAGCUAGUUGGUGGGGUAACGGCUCACCAAGGCGACGAUACAUAGCCGACCUGAGAGGGUGCUCGGCCACACUGGGACUGAGACACGGCCCAGACUCCUACGGGAGGCAGCAGUAGGGAAUCUUCGGCAAUGGACGGAAGUCUGAACGAGCAACGCCGCGGGAGUGAAGAAGGGUUUCGGAUCGUAAAGCUCUGUUGUAAGAGAAGAACGAGUGUGAGAGUGGAAAGUUCACACUGUGACGGUAGCUUACCAGAAAGGGACGGCUAACUACGUG